GAUGAACGCUGGCGGCGUGCCUAAUACAUGCAAGUCGAGCGAACGGACGAGAAGCUUGCUUCUCUGAUGUUAGCGGCGGACGGGUGAGUAACACGUGGAUAACCUACCUAUAAGACUGGGAUAACUUCGGGAAACCGGAGCUAAUACCGGAUAAUAUUUUGAACCGCAUGGUUCAAUAGUGAAAGACGGUCUUGCUGUCACUUAUAGAUGGAUCCGCGCUGCAUUAGCUAGUUGGUAAGGUAACGGCUUACCAAGGCAACGAUGCGUAGCCGACCUGAGAGGGUGAUAGGCCACACUGGAACUGAGACACGGUCCAGACUCCUACGGGAGGCAGCAGUAGGGAAUCUUCCGCAAUGGGCGAAAGCCUGACGGAGCAACGCCGCGUGAGUGAUGAAGGUCUUCGGAUCGUAAAACUCUGUUAUUAGGGAAGAACAUAUGUGUAAGUAACUGUGCACAUCUUGACGGUACCUAAUCAGAAAGCCACGGCUAACUACGUG
RNAcentral lists this ribosomal RNA (497 nucleotides) under uncultured bacterium. RNAcentral's name for it is "partial 16S ribosomal RNA". It matches the Rfam family "Bacterial small subunit ribosomal RNA", at positions 28 to 507 of the family's 1533-position model. The record is from RNAcentral.